RNAcentral lists this ribosomal RNA (840 nucleotides) under uncultured bacterium. RNAcentral's name for it is "bacterial SSU rRNA". It matches the Rfam family "Bacterial small subunit ribosomal RNA", at positions 18 to 848 of the family's 1533-position model. The record is from RNAcentral.
CCUGGCUCAGGAUGAACGCUAGCUACAGGCUUAACACAUGCAAGUCGAGGGGAAACGACAUCGAAAGCUUGCUUUUGAUGGGCGUCGACCGGCGCACGGGUGAGUAACGCGUAUCCAACCUGCCCACCACUUGGGGAUAACCUUGCGAAAGUAAGACUAAUACCCAAUGAUAUCUCUAGAAGACAUCUGAAAGAGAUUAAAGAUUUAUCGGUGAUGGAUGGGGAUGCGUCUGAUUAGCUUGUUGGCGGGGUAACGGCCCACCAAGGCGACGAUCAGUAGGGGUUCUGAGAGGAAGGUCCCCCACAUUGGAACUGAGACACGGUCCAAACUCCUACGGGAGGCAGCAGUGAGGAAUAUUGGUCAAUGGGCGAGAGCCUGAACCAGCCAAGUAGCGUGCAGGAUGACGGCCCUAUGGGUUGUAAACUGCUUUUAUAAGGGAAUAAAGUGAGUCUCGUGAGACUUUUUGCAUGUACCUUAUGAAUAAGGACCGGCUAAUUCCGUGCCAGCAGCCGCGGUAAUACGGAAGGUCCGGGCGUUAUCCGGAUUUAUUGGGUUUAAAGGGAGCGUAGGCCGGAGAUUAAGCGUGUUGUGAAAUGUAGAUGCUCAACAUCUGAACUGCAGCGCGAACUGGUUUCCUUGAGUACGCACAAAGUGGGCGGAAUUCGUGGUGUAGCGGUGAAAUGCUUAGAUAUCACGAAGAACUCCGAUUGCGAAGGCAGCUCACUGGAGCGCAACUGACGCUGAAGCUCGAAAGUGCGGGUAUCGAACAGGAUUAGAUACCCUGGUAGUCCGCACGGUAAACGAUGGAUGCCCGCUGUUGGUCUGAAUAGGUCAGCGGCC